CCCUUGUCCUUAUUUGCCAGCGGGUCAGGCCGGGAACUUUAGGGAGACUGCCGGUGACAAACCGGAGGAAGGUGGGGAUGACGUCAAGUCAUCAUGGCCCUCACGGGGUGGGCUACAAACGUGCUACAAUGGGCGGCACAGAGGGCUGCGAACCAGCAAUGGCAAGCGAAUCCCAAAAAACCGCUCGUAGUCCGGAUAGGAGUCUGCAACUCGACUCCUUGAAGUCGGAAUCGCUAGUAAUCGCGAAUCAGAAUGUCGCGGUGAAUACGUUCCCGGGCCUUGUACACA
Molecule: ribosomal RNA, 288 nt
Filed under: uncultured bacterium
Lineage: Bacteria
Description: partial 16S ribosomal RNA
Rfam family: Bacterial small subunit ribosomal RNA
Source: RNAcentral